GGGGGGGGGUGGGGGGGGGGCGGGGGGGGGGGGGUGGGGCGGGCGGGGGGGGGGCUGGCUGCUCUGGUGUGCGCGGCGGAGGGGUGAUUCGCACGGUGGUGACCUCCCUAUCAGGCUGGGCUCACUCCUGGCCCCCGGGGCUCGUACCGGCUACUAUUUUUGCCCUCACGUUUCACCAUGUAAAGACGUUCUUGCUGUCCCUUCUUCAUUGCUCCGCUCUUCAGUAUCUAGUGGGUAAGGUAACGGCUUAUCAAGGCACCGAUGCAUAGCCGACCUGAGAGGGUGAUCGGCCACACUGGAACUGAGAAACGGUCCAGAAUCAUACGGGAGGCAGCAGUAGGGAAGCUUACGCAAUGGGCGAAAGCCUGACGGAGCAACGCCGCGUGAGUGAUGAAGGUCUUCGGAUAGUAAAACUCUGUUAUUAGGGAAGAACAUAUGGGUAAGUAACUGUGCACAUAUUGACGGUACCUAAUCAGAAAGCCACGGCUAACUACGUG
This 497-nucleotide ribosomal RNA is filed under the name uncultured bacterium. RNAcentral's name for it is "partial 16S ribosomal RNA". It matches the Rfam family "Bacterial small subunit ribosomal RNA", at positions 27 to 507 of the family's 1533-position model. The record is from RNAcentral.